CGGGGUGCAGCAGGCGCGAAAACUUUACAAUGCGGGAAACCGUGAUAAGGGGACACCGAGUGCCAGCAUCAUAUGCUGGCUGUCCAGGUGUGUAAAAUACACCUGUUAGCAAGGGCCGGGCAAGACCGGUGCCAGCCGCCGCGGUAACACCGGCGGCCCGAGUGGUGAUCGUGAUUAUUGGGUCUAAAGGGUCCGUAGCCGGUUUGGUCAGUCCUCCGGGAAAUCUGACGGCUCAACCGUUAGGCUUUCGGGGGAUACUGCCAGGCUUGGAACCGGGAGAGGUAAGAGGUACUACAGGGGUAGGAGUGAAAUCUUGUAAUCCCUGUGAGACCACCUGUGGCGAAGGCGUCUUACCAGAACGGGUUCGACGGUGAGGGACGAAAGCUGGGGGCACGAACCGGAUUAGAUACCCGGGUAGUCCCAGCCGUAAACGAUGCUCGCUAGGUGUCAGGCAUGGCGCGACCGUGUCUGGUGCCGCAGGGAAGCCGUGAAGCGAGCCACCUGGGAAGUACGGCCGCAAGGCUGAAACUUAAAGGAAUUGGCGGGGGAGCACAAGGGCGAAUCGCG
This 567-nucleotide ribosomal RNA is filed under the name uncultured archaeon. Its description in RNAcentral is "bacterial SSU rRNA". It matches the Rfam family "Archaeal small subunit ribosomal RNA", at positions 326 to 897 of the family's 1478-position model. The record is from RNAcentral.